RNAcentral lists this transfer RNA (76 nucleotides) under Pseudomonadota bacterium. RNAcentral's name for it is "tRNA-Thr". It matches the Rfam family "tRNA". Rfam says of the family: Transfer RNA (tRNA) molecules are approximately 80 nucleotides in length. The record is from RNAcentral. Lineage: Bacteria; Pseudomonadati; Pseudomonadota.
GCCGAUGUAGCUCAGCCGGUAGAGCAACUGAUUCGUAAUCAGUAGGUCGGCAGUUCAAUCCUGCCCAUCGGCUCCA